CACUCCUACGGGAGGCAGGCAGUGGGGGAAUAUUGCACAAUGGGGGAAACCCUGAUGCAGCCAUGCCGCGUGUGUGAAGAAGGCCUUCGGGUUGUAAAGUACUUUCAGCAGUGAGGAAGGUGGGUGCGUUAAUAGCGGCAUCAUUUGACGUUAGCUGCAGAAGAAGCACCGGCUAACUCCGUGCCAGCAGCCGCGGUAAUACGGAGGGUGCGAGCGUUAAUCGGAAUUACUGGGCGUAAAGCGCAUGCAGGUGGUUUGUUAAGUCAGAUGUGAAAGCCCGGGGCUCAACCUCGGAAUUGCAUUUGAAAACUGGCAGACUAGAGUACUGUAGAGGGGGUAGAAUUUCAGGUGUAGCGGUGAAAAUGCGUAGAGAUCUGAAGGAAUACCGGUGGCGAAGGCGGCCCCCUGGACAGAUACUGACACUCAGAUGCGAAAGCGUGGGGAGCAAACAGGAUUAGAUACCCUGGUAG
RNAcentral lists this ribosomal RNA (470 nucleotides) under uncultured bacterium. RNAcentral describes it as "bacterial SSU rRNA". It matches the Rfam family "Bacterial small subunit ribosomal RNA", at positions 334 to 793 of the family's 1533-position model. The record is from RNAcentral.